AACGAACGCUGGCGGCGUGCCUAACACAUGCAAGUCGAGCGCGAAUGGAGCAAUCCUAGUAGAGCGGCGCACGGGUGCGUAACACGUGGGUAAUCUGCCUCAAAGCCCGGGAUAACCUGCCGAAAGGCAAGCUAAUACCGGAUAAGCCUACGGACUCUUCGGGGUCUGAAGGAAAGGUGGCCUCUGUAUACAAGCUAUCACUUUGAGAUGAGCCCGCGGCCCAUCAGCUCGUUGGC
This 236-nucleotide ribosomal RNA is filed under the name uncultured bacterium. RNAcentral's name for it is "partial 16S ribosomal RNA". It matches the Rfam family "Bacterial small subunit ribosomal RNA", at positions 29 to 253 of the family's 1533-position model. The record is from RNAcentral.